Molecule: transfer RNA, 73 nt
Filed under: Apaloderma vittatum (bar-tailed trogon)
Lineage: Eukaryota; Metazoa; Chordata; Aves; Trogoniformes; Trogonidae
Rfam family: tRNA
About the family: Transfer RNA (tRNA) molecules are approximately 80 nucleotides in length. Their secondary structure includes four short double-helical elements and three loops (D, anti-codon, and T loops).
Source: Rfam by way of RNAcentral
GGCCGAUUAGCUCAGUCGGUUAGAACAUAGUGCUGAUAACACCAAAGUCAUGGGUUCAAUGCCCGUUCGGUCC